This 253-nucleotide ribosomal RNA is filed under the name uncultured bacterium. RNAcentral's name for it is "partial 16S ribosomal RNA". It matches the Rfam family "Bacterial small subunit ribosomal RNA", at positions 524 to 776 of the family's 1533-position model. The record is from RNAcentral.
UACGAAGGUCCCAAGCGUUGUUCGGAAUCACUGGGCGUAAAGGGAGCGUAGGCGGCAUGGUAAGUCAGAUGUGAAAUCCCGGGGCUCAACCCCGGAACUGCAUCCGAUACUGCCAUGCUUGAGGAUUGGAGAGGUAGCUGGAAUUCUCGGUGUAGCAGUGAAAUGCGUGGAGAUCGAGAGGAACACUCGUGGCGAAAGCGAGCUACUAGACAAUAUCUGACGCUGAGGCUCGAAGGCCAGGGUAGCGAAAGGG